CCUACGGGAGGCAGCAGUGGGGAAUCUUGCGCAAUGGGCGAAAGCCUGACGCAGCCAUGCCGCGUGAAUGAUGAAGGUCUUAGGAUUGUAAAAUUCUUUCACCGGGGACGAUAAUGACGGUACCCGGAGAAGAAGCCCCGGCUAACUUCGUGCCAGCAGCCGCGGUAAUACGAAGGGGGCUAGCGUUGCUCGGAAUUACUGGGCGUAAAGGGAGCGUAGGCGGAUAGUUUAGUCAGAGGUGAAAGCCCAGGGCUCAACCUUGGAAUUGCCUUUGAUACUGGCUAUCUUGAGUACGGAAGAGGUAUGUGGAACUCCGAGUGUAGAGGUGAAAUUCGUAGAUAUUCGGAAGAACACCAGUGGCGAAGGCGACAUACUGGUCCGUUACUGACGCUGAGGCUCGAAAGCGUGGGGAGCAAACAGGAUUAGAUACCCUGGUAGUCCACGCUGUAAACGAUGAGUGCUAGUUGUCGGCAUGCANNCAUGUCGGUCGCGCGAGACGUACGAC
RNAcentral lists this ribosomal RNA (505 nucleotides) under uncultured bacterium. RNAcentral's name for it is "bacterial SSU rRNA". It matches the Rfam family "Bacterial small subunit ribosomal RNA", at positions 338 to 859 of the family's 1533-position model. The record is from RNAcentral.